UGCCAGCAGCCGCGGUAACACGGGGGGCGCAAGCGUUAUUCGGAAUUAUUGGGCGUAAAGGGCGCGCAGGCGGUCUUGUCAGUCAGGUGUGAAAGCCCGGGGCUCAACCCCGGAUGGUCACUUGAAACAGCAAGACUUGAGUACUGGAGAGGAAAGCGGAAUUCCUGGUGUAGAGGUGAAAUUCGUAGAUAUCAGGAGGAACACCGAUGGCGAAGGCAGCUUUCUGGACAGAUACUGACGCUGAGGCGCCAAGGCGCCGGUAUCGAACCGGAUCAGAUA
Molecule: ribosomal RNA, 279 nt
Filed under: uncultured bacterium
Lineage: Bacteria
Description: partial 16S ribosomal RNA
Rfam family: Bacterial small subunit ribosomal RNA
Source: RNAcentral